RNAcentral lists this ribosomal RNA (504 nucleotides) under uncultured bacterium. Its description in RNAcentral is "SSU rRNA". It matches the Rfam family "Bacterial small subunit ribosomal RNA", at positions 26 to 518 of the family's 1533-position model. The record is from RNAcentral.
AGGACGAACGCUGGCGGCGCGCUUAACACAUGCAAGUCGAGCGAGAACCGGGACUUCGGUCCCGGGGACAGCGGCGAACGGGUGAGUAACACGUGGGUAAUCAACCCUCGGCACCGGGAUAGCCCGAGGAAACUCGGAUUAAUACCGGAUAGCCCCUCCGACUCUCGAGUCGGUCGGGAAAGGUAGCUUAGGCCUCUGGCCGGGGACGAGCCCGCGGCGGAUUAGCUUGUUGGUGGGGUAAUGGCCUACCAAGGCAACGAUCCGUAGCUGGUCUGAGAGGACGAUCAGCCACACUGGGACUGAGACACGGCCCAGACUCCUACGGGAGGCAGCAGUGGGGAAUCUUGCGCAAUGCGCGAAAGCGUGACGCAGCAACGCCGCGUGGGGGAAGAAGGCCUUCGGGUCGUAACCCUUUCAGUUGGGACGAAGGUCGGGCCGUUAAUAGCGGUUCCGACUGACGGUACCUUCACAAGAAGCCCCGGCUAACUACGUGCCAGCAGCCGC